GAUGAACGCUGGCGGCGUGCCUAAUACAUGCAAGUCGAGCGAACGGACGAGAAGCUUGCUUUUCUGAUGUUAGCGGCGGACGGGUGAGUAACACGUGGAUAACCUACCUAUAAGACUGGGAUAACUUCGGGAAACCGGAGCUAAUACCGGAUAAUAUUUUGAACCGCAUGGUUCAAAAGUGAAAGACGGUCUUGCUGUCACUUAUAGAUGGAUCCGCGCUGCAUUAGCUAGUUGGUAAGGUAACGGCUUACCAAGGCAACGAUGCAUAGCCGACCUGAGAGGGUGAUCGGCCACACUGGAACUGGGACACGGUCCAGACUCCUACGGGAGGCAGCAGUAGGGAAUCUUCCGCUAUGGGCGAAAGCCUGACGGAGCAACGCCGCGUGAGUGAUGAAGGUCUUCGGAUCGUAAAACUCUGUUAUUAGGGAAGAACAUAUGUGUAAGUAACUGUGCACAUCUUGACGGUACCUAAUCAGAAAGCCACGGCUAACUACGUG
RNAcentral lists this ribosomal RNA (497 nucleotides) under uncultured bacterium. RNAcentral describes it as "partial 16S ribosomal RNA". It matches the Rfam family "Bacterial small subunit ribosomal RNA", at positions 28 to 507 of the family's 1533-position model. The record is from RNAcentral.